Molecule: ribosomal RNA, 486 nt
Filed under: Triticum aestivum (bread wheat)
Lineage: Eukaryota; Viridiplantae; Streptophyta; Magnoliopsida; Poales; Poaceae
Description: partial small subunit ribosomal RNA
Source: RNAcentral
AUGGCCCGCAUUGCAGUGCUCUUGCUGGUGGCGCUGCUCUCCUUAGCCGUGCAUCUCGCUCCGUCCGCGGCAUGCCGAUCCUGCCCGACCACAAAGCCUUCGCGGCCUCCACCGCGUAAGCACAAGUCCCGGCCAUCGUCCGUACCCUGCCCACCGCCUUCGCAAACUCCCACGCCCUCACCCACAUCCACACCUACUCCAGUGACUCCGACGCCGGCACCGACCCCGAUUGUGUCCUGCCCUCCACCUACAAACACUCCCGCACCCACGCCCAUACCGACCCCGGUGAUACUGCCAAUACCAACCCCUAUAACUCCGACGCCGGCACAGGCCCCCGUCUCUCCAACACCAACCCGGUUGACCCCAACACCGACCCCUGUUUCGCCGACGCCGGCACCGACCCCUGUCUCUCCAUCACCAAUCCCGGUGGCCCCAUCACCGACCCCUGUGAUGCCACCAACACCGACCCUUGUGACCCCGACACCA